CCCAAAGUCCCUUGUUUCCAAGGUUUGACCAUUUUGGGGAGGUGGUGGAACUUUCAGGAGAUAACGGCCUGGAAGAAUCUAGGAUACCUCUGAGAAGGAAGACAGUUCCCUUGAUAAAGAAGCUAGCUGUGUUGGACAGAGAGGCAGAAAAUGAUGAUGUCUGCAGAAUGAAAAGGCUUUUCAGGAUCUGUAUGAAGACUGUAUGGGAGCUGUGUACUUCCCAGAGCUCUUAGUUGUGGUCUGAAGUACUGCUGUCAACCAUGAGGUACUUUAGCAGUUUUUCUGUGAACGCCGCCUUUUUCAUUAGAGUGCAGCAAUGGUUAACAACGUAAUAACCCCCAAGUUACAAGUUAUUCUCAACUUAAUAAAUGCAUUUAUAAAUUUGUGAAGAUUCUCCA
Fukomys damarensis (Damara mole-rat) is the source of this 398-nucleotide long non-coding RNA. RefSeq lists it as uncharacterized. The record is from RefSeq and is a predicted model, not a curated record. The transcript is spliced from 3 exons. NCBI's taxonomy places the organism in Eukaryota, Metazoa, Chordata, Mammalia, Rodentia, Bathyergidae.